Molecule: ribosomal RNA, 466 nt
Filed under: Gemella haemolysans
Lineage: Bacteria; Bacillati; Bacillota; Bacilli; Caryophanales; Gemellaceae
Description: bacterial SSU rRNA
Rfam family: Bacterial small subunit ribosomal RNA
Source: RNAcentral
GACGAACGCUGGCGGCGUGCCUAAUACAUGCAAGUCGAGCGAAGUUUUUCUGGUGCUUGCACCGGAAAAACUUAGCGGCGAACGGGUGAGUAACACGUAAAGAACCUGCCUCAUAGACUGGGACAACUAUUGGAAACGAUAGCUAAUACCGGAUAACAGCAUUAACUGCAUGGUUGAUGUUUGAAAGUUGGUUUUGCUAACACUAUGAGAUGGCUUUGCGGUGCAUUAGCUAGUUGGUGGGGUAAAGGCCCACCAAGGCGACGAUGCAUAGCCGACCUGAGAGGGUGAUCGGCCACACUGGGACUGAGACACGGCCCAGACUCCUACGGGAGGCAGCAGUAGGGAAUCUUCCGCAAUGGGCGAAAGCCUGACGGAGCAACGCCGCGUGAGUGAAGAAGGAUUUCGGUUCGUAAAGCUCUGUUGUUAGGGAAGAAUGAUUGUGUAGUAACUAUACACAGUAGAGACG